GAUGAACGCUAGCGGCAGGCUUAAUACAUGCAAGUCGUGGGGCAGCAGGACUGUAGCACUCCAGUUGCUGGCGACCGGCACACGUGUGUGGCACACGUACGCAACUUACCCUGAACUGGGGGAUAGCCCGGGGAAACCCGGAUUAAUACCCCGUAAUAUAAUGGAGUGGCAUCACUUUAUUAUUAAAGCUCCGGCGGUUCGGGAUGGGCGUGCGGCUGCUUAGUUAGUUGGUUGAGGUAACGGCUAACCAAGCCUACGAUCAGUAACUGGUGUGAGGGCAGGACAAGCCAGACGGGAACCGCGGCACGGGCCCCACUCGUACGGGACGGAGCAGUAAGGAACAGUGGGCACGGGAGGCUACUCUGACCCAGCCAUGCCGGGUGUAGGAUGAAGGCCCUCUGGGUUGUAAACUUCUUUUAUAGGAGAAGAAACCUGUGUACUCUUACGCAGUUGACGGUACCCUAGGAAUAAGCACCGGCUAACUCCGUG
RNAcentral lists this ribosomal RNA (489 nucleotides) under uncultured bacterium. RNAcentral's name for it is "partial 16S ribosomal RNA". It matches the Rfam family "Bacterial small subunit ribosomal RNA", at positions 28 to 507 of the family's 1533-position model. The record is from RNAcentral.